RNAcentral lists this small RNA (677 nucleotides) under Pongo abelii (Sumatran orangutan). Its description in RNAcentral is "retained intron". Lineage: Eukaryota; Metazoa; Chordata; Mammalia; Primates; Hominidae. The record is from RNAcentral.
AGUCCGUGCGGGGGCAGGGCCAGGAGCAAGAGCAGGGGCGGGACCAAGAGCAAGUGCAGGGGCGGAGCCAGGAGCAAGAGUCGGGGCGGGGCCAAGAGCAAAUGCAGGGGCGGGGCCAGGAGCAAGGGCUGUGAGAGGCGCAGAAGCGAGGUGGAAUCUUAGAAGUGGGCUCCAGAGAGCUGUCCUGCGCGUGGGUGUUGACGCCUGCGUUCUCCAGGUUCUAGCCACGUUAUGUGCGGCACAGCCAUGUUCCCUGCCGGUCCUCCGUGGUCCAGAGUCCGAGUCCUGCAGGUGCUGUGGGCCCUGCUGGCAGUGCUCCUGGCGUCGUGGAGGCUGUGGGCGAUCAAGGAUUUCCAGGAAUGCACCUGGCAGGUUGUCCUGAACGAGUUUAAGAGGGUAGGCGAGAGUGGUGUGAGCGACAGCUUCUUUGAGCAAGAGCCCGUGGACACAGUGAGCAGCUUGUUUCACAUGCUGGUGGACUCACCCCUCAACCCGAGCGAGAAAUACCUGGGCUUCCCUUACUACCUGAAGAUCAACUACUCCUGCGAGGAAAAGACGGAGUCUUGCUCUGUUUCCCAGACUGGAGUGCAGUGGCGAGAUCUCGGCUUACUGCAGCCUCCGCCCCCUGUGCUCAUGCGAUUCUCCUGCCUCGGCCUCCCAAGUAGCUGGAACUACAG